RNAcentral lists this ribosomal RNA (118 nucleotides) under Pteropus alecto (black flying fox). The record is from RNAcentral. Lineage: Eukaryota; Metazoa; Chordata; Mammalia; Chiroptera; Pteropodidae.
GUCUACAGCCACGCCACCCUGAACAAGCCCGAUCCCGUUGAUCUCGGAAGUGAAGCAGGGUCGGGCCUGCUUAGUACUUGUGUGGGAGACCACCUAGGAAGACCAGGUGUUCUACGUG